This 1059-nucleotide ribosomal RNA is filed under the name Triticum aestivum (bread wheat). RNAcentral describes it as "partial small subunit ribosomal RNA". The record is from RNAcentral. Lineage: Eukaryota; Viridiplantae; Streptophyta; Magnoliopsida; Poales; Poaceae.
AUGAAGGUCUUGUCAGUGUCGCAGCUCUUUCCCUGUGUUCUCUUCCUCACCAUCUUGUUCGCUUGGCCGGCCACCGAGUCGGCGACCAGCCCCGUGACCAUGCGCGCCGACCUUACCCACGCGGACAGCGGCCGCGGCUUCACCAGGCGCGAGCUUCUCAGCCGGAUGGCCGCCCGGUCAAAGGCCCGCGUGGCCAGCCUGCACUCCUCCGCCUCUCCCGGCGCGGUGACCGCGCCGGUGGCCCGAGGCACCGUCGGCAGAGACGACAUCAGUUCCGAGUACCUCAUCCACGUCAGCAUCGGCACGCCGCGCCCGCAGCGCGUGGCACUGGAGCUGGACACCGGCAGCGACCUUAUCUGGACGCAGUGCGCUUGCGUGGACUGCUUCGACCAGCCGUUCCCGGUUCUCAACACCUCCGCCUCCCGCACCCUCCGUGAUGUCUCGUGCUCAGACCCUCUCUGCACGCGGGGCGGCCUCCCGCUCUCUCGGUGCGCCGUCAAAGACAACUUCUGCUCGUACGCCUACUACUACGGCGACGGAUCCGUCACAAUGGGUAAGAUCGUCGAGGACACUUUCACAUUCAAGGCGCCCCACAACAAGUGCGGCACGGUCGCCACCGUGUCGAACCUCCACUUUGGCUGUGGCAUGGACAACAAAGGCACCUUCAUAUCGAACGAGUCUGGCAUCGCCGGCUUCGGCCGCGGCCCGAUGUCUCUGCCGUCGCAGCUCAAGGUGCACAGAUUCUUCCACUGCUUGACAACCAUUGUAGAGUCCGGGACCAGCCCGGUGUUCCUGGGCACGCCUGACAACCUCGAAGCGCACGUCACGGGGCCCAUCCAGUCCACCCCGUUCGUCCCAAACAUUGGGAGUGCGCUCAGCUCGUUCUACUACCUUUCACUCAAAGGCAUCACCGUCGGCAAGACGCGCCUGCCGUUCGACGCGUCGGCGUUCGCGCUCAAGCGCGAUGGCUCCGGGGGGACAAUCAUCGACUCGGGCACGAGCAUCACGAUCUUACAGCGGGCCAUGUUCCGAAGCCUCCGGCAGGCGUUCGUGUCGUAG